AACGACUCUCGGCAACGGAUAUCUCGGCUCUCGCAUCGAUGAAGAACGCAGCAAAAUGCGAUACUUGGUGUGAAUUGCAGAAUCCCGUGAAUCAUCGAGUCUUUGAACGCAAGUUGCGCCCGAAGCCUUCCGGCCAAGGGCACGUCUGCCUGGGUGUCACGC
RNAcentral lists this ribosomal RNA (162 nucleotides) under Mallotus repandus. RNAcentral describes it as "5.8S ribosomal RNA". It matches the Rfam family "5.8S ribosomal RNA". Rfam says of the family: 5.8S ribosomal RNA (5.8S rRNA) is a component of the large subunit of the eukaryotic ribosome. It is transcribed by RNA polymerase I as part of the 45S precursor that also contains 18S and 28S rRNA. Lineage: Eukaryota; Viridiplantae; Streptophyta; Magnoliopsida; Malpighiales; Euphorbiaceae. The record is from RNAcentral.